UGGGUGUACGCAGGCAAAAGCAAGCGCCAUGUUUAAUUUGUUUGAUCCGUUUGACCAGUUUUAUUCGUUACUUUUUCACGGUUUAGAAGGUGAACCCAACGAGGAAAAUGGAUUUUUUGGAGUUCAGACGUCGUAAUAAUGAAAUCCUUCUGGAACCGCAAUCGACCGAAACAUGGUCAUAUUGAUCACCGUUUUCGCGGCGUUGAUCUGCAUCCUGAUUGGCACUAGCCCCCUAGAUGGACAAGUUCGACUUCCGCUGAGGCAAGUACAUGGUAUGUUGCAGACUUCACCGUGGAAAAAAACCGCAAGACCGAAAGCGACGCCGUCUGUGACGAGAUAGAUGGAAAGCCGGUUCCCUGACCAUUGACCUUGAUAGUGAUGAUCAUCGUUUCAUUGUACCUUGUCCGGCACUACCGUUCGAUCAUCUGGUAUAUAUCUGGCCGACCGUGGAGGAAGGUGAACUUCGCAUAGUUGCUCAGGAAGACUACGAAGAGGUCGGCAUGAAUUCCGGAAGGAUCAGGAUGAAGGGUACUGAGGAUCGCAUGGUUUGCAAUUGUUCGUGUGCAGAUGCCUGCGGUAUAUAAUUCGUGCAUGGUGGCCUCACAAUUGGAUCUUCAACGUGGAGCUCCAUCGUCGAUGUCAUCAAAAGCCCAUAGUGACAGAAAUUAAGAAACGAAAGUGGAGGUGAGUCGGCAACACUCUACACACGGGAAGAAACGAAAUCUGCAAACAAGCGUUAGAUUGGAACCCAGCAGGACAUCACAGCAGAGGCAGGCCCAGAGGCUCGUGGCAGCGCAACCUCACCAAAGAAAUAAAGGAAGUCGACAGAAAUUUGACCUGGCCACAGGUCAAAGCGAUAGCAGGCAAUCGCCCAGGGUGGAGAUCUUUCAAUUUGGCCCUCUACACCACCGUGGAAGGUCAGGACUGAAAGUUGACGACGCAUCUGUCUUCAAGCAGUACUUUAUUCAUUCCUGCCGUCGAAAUGGUCGCCUCAGCUAUUUUGUGUCCACAGAAAUAAUUAAAAAGUCAGUCAAUUUGUUAAUGAUAACGAGAUUGCUUAAAUUCAUAAGUAGGUAAAUUAAAUUUUAUUACAAAUCCAAGUAAAAAUCAAUACAAUAACGAAUAAAAUAAUGUUGGUUGUGGUACAUGUUUUUUUCCUGUUUUUUCUCCUCAAUGGGUGAUUAAACUGUUUUCCAUCCUCUUUCGCCUUGAAUUUUGAAUAGCUUUAAACACCUAGAGGUUUUUACAGCUACACGAAAUUUUCGCCGAAAAAAGAUGAAAUUCAUUUUAAUCACCCAUUGAGAAGCAUUGGUACGCGUUUACAUCGUUUUUCUCCAUUACGUUGAUAGCAUUACAUCAUACCGAGUACGUCAAAUUUAUUACAUCGAGCGAAUUACGUCGUACUAGGUUAUUACAUCAAUAGCCCGCGUGUACAUCGGGCUGUGUAAUAUCACUCGAUCGAUGUAACGACCUGGUUGCAGCGAUUUCGAUGUAAUAUUCAACAACU
Molecule: long non-coding RNA, 1507 nt
Organism: Aedes albopictus (Asian tiger mosquito)
Lineage: Eukaryota; Metazoa; Arthropoda; Insecta; Diptera; Culicidae
Exons: 4
Source: RefSeq, a predicted model, not a curated record